Molecule: ribosomal RNA, 1432 nt
Filed under: Lactobacillus sp.
Lineage: Bacteria; Bacillati; Bacillota; Bacilli; Lactobacillales; Lactobacillaceae
Description: bacterial SSU rRNA
Rfam family: Bacterial small subunit ribosomal RNA
Source: RNAcentral
ACAUGCAAGUCGAACGAACUCUGGUAUUGAUUGGUGCUUGCAUCAUGAUUUACAUUUGAGUGAGUGGCGAACUGGUGAGUAACACGUGGGAAACCUGCCCAGAAGCGGGGGAUAACACCUGGAAACAGAUGCUAAUACCGCAUAACAACUUGGACCGCAUGGUCCGAGCUUGAAAGAUGGCUUCGGCUAUCACUUUUGGAUGGUCCCGCGGCGUAUUAGCUAGAUGGUGGGGUAACGGCUCACCAUGGCAAUGAUACGUAGCCGACCUGAGAGGGUAAUCGGCCACAUUGGGACUGAGACACGGCCCAAACUCCUACGGGAGGCAGCAGUAGGGAAUCUUCCACAAUGGACGAAAGUCUGAUGGAGCAACGCCGCGUGAGUGAAGAAGGGUUUCGGCUCGUAAAACUCUGUUGUUAAAGAAGAACAUAUCUGAGAGUAACUGUUCAGGUAUUGACGGUAUUUAACCAGAAAGCCACGGCUAACUACGUGCCAGCAGCCGCGGUAAUACGUAGGUGGCAAGCGUUGUCCGGAUUUAUUGGGCGUAAAGCGAGCGCAGGCGGUUUUUUAAGUCUGAUGUGAAAGCCUUCGGCUCAACCGAAGAAGUGCAUCGGAAACUGGGAAACUUGAGUGCAGAAGAGGACAGUGGAACUCCAUGUGUAGCGGUGAAAUGCGUAGAUAUAUGGAAGAACACCAGUGGCGAAGGCGGCUGUCUGGUCUGUAACUGACGCUGAGGCUCGAAAGUAUGGGUAGCAAACAGGAUUAGAUACCCUGGUAGUCCAUACCGUAAACGAUGAAUGCUAAGUGUUGGAGGGUUUCCGCCCUUCAGUGCUGCAGCUAACGCAUUAAGCAUUCCGCCUGGGGAGUACGGCCGCAAGGCUGAAACUCAAAGGAAUUGACGGGGGCCCGCACAAGCGGUGGAGCAUGUGGUUUAAUUCGAAGCUACGCGAAGAACCUUACCAGGUCUUGACAUACUAUGCAAAUCUAAGAGAUUAGACGUUCCCUUCGGGGACAUGGAUACAGGUGGUGCAUGGUUGUCGUCAGCUCGUGUCGUGAGAUGUUGGGUUAAGUCCCGCAACGAGCGCAACCCUUAUUAUCAGUUGCCAGCAUUAAGUUGGGCACUCUGGUGAGACUGCCGGUGACAAACCGGAGGAAGGUGGGGAUGACGUCAAAUCAUCAUGCCCCUUAUGACCUGGGCUACACACGUGCUACAAUGGAUGGUACAACGAGUUGCGAACUCGCGAGAGUAAGCUAAUCUCUUAAAGCCAUUCUCAGUUCGGAUUGUAGGCUGCAACUCGCCUACAUGAAGUCGGAAUCGCUAGUAAUCGCGGAUCAGCAUGCCGCGGUGAAUACGUUCCCGGGCCUUGUACACACCGCCCGUCACACCAUGAGAGUUUGUAACACCCAAAGUCGGUGGGGUAACCUUUUAGAACCA